RNAcentral lists this long non-coding RNA (1896 nucleotides) under Pogona vitticeps (central bearded dragon). RNAcentral describes it as "lncRNA (ENSPVIG00000024917.1)". Lineage: Eukaryota; Metazoa; Chordata; Lepidosauria; Squamata; Agamidae. The record is from RNAcentral.
CCAGAAGCAGCGGCGGGCUGCGUCUUCCUGCCUUUUUUGGGUUGCAAGGGGGGGUCAGCACCCAAACGGGCCCCCUGCCGGGCUCCUUUCCUCCGCUUCAGGGCUGGCCUUCCUCCACGUGGCUGCACCCAGGGACACGGGGAUGCACGUUCACACACCCUCGCCUGCCUCCCUUGCACGUGGAGACACUCAGCGCCUGCUUCCCCCCCACCCACUUGAGGGCUUGCUGGGUGCCCGUGUUUUUUCCAUGAUUUGCCUCCCCCACUCCCUACAACCUCUCAGCCUCUGUGUCUAGUGGAAGGGAGUUCCAGAUGUUCCCUUGAAGGGACGUUGCAUCCAAGUACCGUAAUUGGGCAACCCAAGGAGCGAAUCGCCUUCAGAACGCCCCGUCCGUCCGUAGCAGCCCUGCUCAGGUUUUGCAGACCCCAGGGUGCUUCUUGAGCAAGCCGUCUCAGUUUGCGUAGGAGGGCUCCCACAAGGCUGGCUGCGCGUGCCCAAAGGCGCUUUGGUAAGCACCCCGGUGAGCUCUCGAGGAGGGUUUUGACCACUUGGCACAGUUUCCGUCUUACAAAGAGAAAGGGAAUUAAAAGCAAGCCCAAGGGCCGUUGGCUGGGGUUCCCAGUCCUGAUAUGGGGCCCCUGUCCUGUUUGGCUCUGACUGUGGCCGGCAGAUAAAUAUUUUGGCGCACAAAGUAAACAGCGUAGCCCCCGCAGGGAGGACCUUGAUAAGGGACGCUGCCCCGUCUGCUGUCAGGGGCUGGUUGUGAUGCUGGAGUUGAAAAUAAAACACAUGCCAAGGACCUGUGUGUUCCUAUUCUAAGGGGGUUGUGCCGACAUCCAGGCUCUGGACAGGCACAUGGGUCUCUAGAGUGAGAACACUUUGUCACCUGCUAGUUGCAAAGCUGCUCCCUUUUUUUGGUCCGCUUUUGCCUCAACCACGCAGUGACUGGCCCAAGGCCUCUCCCUCCCUGCCGGGACGUUUCCUUUCAAGGGAUCAGGAAAGCAACGGGUUUGCCGGCGUCGGUCGUGGGUUGCUGCUUCAAUGGAGACUCCAAGGUGUGGCCCGAGAUAUGGAAGGCGUUGCUGAGUCGGAUCGUAUUGUCCUUGGCUGGAGUCAGCUACUUUUUCCCCCAAGGAGCUCUUAAGUUGUCAUCUGCAAGUGGGGGAGCAAAUCCAUCUCCUGCUAAAGAUUUUGUUGUGAAAUAUUGUGACUCGCUCUGUUAUAGGUGGAGCCGUCUUCUGCGCUUCUGCAAACUCAUUGUGCAAUUAUUAUUCCUUACGAGGGGAAAAAUCUCUGCCUCAAAAUAAACGGAAGUACACCCUCCCCCCGAAAAAUGUUAGGUGUUUGUGGGGGAACCUCUAGAGGGAUUACGGGUCGGAUACAGAGGGAUGGAACUGGAUGUGCCUGCUGGGUUCCUUUUUUGGGUCGGGGGGGGGAAUGACACCUCUCAGAAUGUGCCAACUAUCCCUCACUGUGUUGGCCAGCCUGCUCUGGGAAUUGUAGUUUUCCAGGCUCUGAGGUGAGGCGAGGCUUACAUGAACUGCAACAGGGCCUUUUCUGUGAUUGCACCCCAAAUUCAGAACGUCCUUUCUCGGGGAGACUCGGACGGUGCCCCUUGGGAUGCUGGUCUAAGAGGAAACAACACAAGACAUUUUUUCUUCAUCGAGGACUUUUUAAGUGAUUUGUGGGAUGGGGAGGAUUUUUUUAAUGUGUGUGUGUUCCUUAAUAGUUUGUAAAAAUUGCAUUCUUUAAUAUUAUGUCCCUUUUUAUUUGGUUGAUGUCCUUUUUGCCCUAUUUUUUUACAGCUUAGUACUGUAAGCCGCCUAGAGUAGUCUUAAUUGAUUAGAUAGGCAGGAUAUAAAUAAAAUAAAUAAAAUAAAAUAAUAAAUAAAAUAA